Molecule: ribosomal RNA, 1438 nt
Filed under: uncultured organism
Description: 16S ribosomal RNA
Rfam family: Bacterial small subunit ribosomal RNA
Source: RNAcentral
CGCUGGCGGCGUGCUUAACACAUGCAAGUCGAACGGAAAGGCCCUGCUUUUGUGGGGUGCUCGAGUGGCGAACGGGUGAGUAACACGUGAGUAACCUGCCCUUGACUUUGGGAUAACUUCAGGAAACUGGGGCUAAUACCGGAUAGGAGCUCCUGCUGCAUGGUGGGGGUUGGAAAGUUUCGGCGGUUGGGGAUGGACUCGCGGCUUAUCAGCUUGUUGGUGGGGUAGUGGCUUACCAAGGCUUUGACGGGUAGCCGGCCUGAGAGGGUGACCGGCCACAUUGGGACUGAGAUACGGCCCAGACUCCUACGGGAGGCAGCAGUGGGGAAUAUUGCACAAUGGGCGGAAGCCUGAUGCAGCAACGCCGCGUGCGGGAUGACGGCCUUCGGGUUGUAAACCGCUUUCGCCUGUGACGAAGCGUGAGUGACGGUAAUGGGUAAAGAAGCACCGGCUAACUACGUGCCAGCAGCCGCGGUGAUACGUAGGGUGCGAGCGUUGUCCGGAUUUAUUGGGCGUAAAUGGCUCGUAGGUGGUUGAUCGCGUCGGAAGUGUAAUCUUGGGGCUUAACCCUGAGCGUGCUUUCGAUACGGGUUGACUUGAGGAAGGUAGGGGAGAAUGGAAUUCCUGGUGGAGCGGUGGAAUGCGCAGAUAUCAGGAGGAACACCAGUGGCGAAGGCGGUUCUCUGGGCCUUUCCUGACGCUGAGGAGCGAAAGCGUGGGGAGCGAACAGGCUUAGAUACCCUGGUAGUCCACGCUGUAAACGGUGGGUACUAGGUGUGGGGUCCAUUCCACGGGUUCCGUGCCGUAGCUAACGCUUUAAGUACCCCGCCUGGGGAGUACGGCCGCAAGGCUAAAACUCAAAGGAAUUGACGGGGCCCCGCACAAGCGGCGGAGCAUGCGGAUUAAUUCGAUGCAACGCGUAGAACCUUACCUGGGUUUGACAUGGAUCGGGAGUGCUCAGAGAUGGGUGUGCCUCUUUUGGGGUCGGUUCACAGGUGGUGCAUGGCUGUCGUCAGCUCGUGUCGUGAGAUGUUGGGUUAAGUCCCGCAACGAGCGCAACCCUUGUUCACUGUUGCCAGCACGUUAUGGUGGGGACUCAGUGGAGACCGCCGGGGUCAACUCGGAGGAAGGUGGGGAUGACGUCAAGUCAUCAUGCCCCUUAUGUCCAGGGCUUCACGCAUGCUACAAUGGCUGGUACAGAGAGUGGCGAGCCUGUGAGGGUGAGCGAAUCUCGGAAAGCCGGUCUCAGUUCGGAUUGGGGUCUGCAACUCGACCUCAUGAAGUCGGAGUCGCUAGUAAUCGCAGAUCAGCAACGCUGCGGUGAAUACGUUCCCGGGGCUUGUACACACCGCCCGUCAAGUCAUGAAAGUUGGUAACACCCGAAGCCGGUGGCCUAACCGUUGUGGGGGAGCCGUCGAAGGUGGGACUGGUGAUUAGG